RNAcentral lists this ribosomal RNA (253 nucleotides) under uncultured bacterium. RNAcentral describes it as "partial 16S ribosomal RNA". It matches the Rfam family "Bacterial small subunit ribosomal RNA", at positions 524 to 776 of the family's 1533-position model. The record is from RNAcentral.
UACGAAGGUGGCAAGCGUUAUCCGGAAUUACUGGGCGUAAAGCGCACGCAGGUGGCUAUAUAAGAUAGGCGUGAAAGCUUGUGGCUUAACCGGAAGAGGUCGUUUAUUACUGGAUAGCUUGAGUCGAGGAGAGGGGUGCAGAAUUCCCGGUGUAGUGGUGGAAUGCGUAGAGAUCGGGAGGAAUACCAGUGGCGAAAGCGGCACCCUGGCCUUAGUCUGACGCUCAGGUGCGAAAGCGUGGGGAGCAAACGGG